ACAGGAACUCUCAGAAAAGAUCUUUUAUCUAAGGAGACAUUCACAUGGUCUCUUAUCAAAAGCCACAUAUAUUCAAAGAGAAGGAAUGACCAAGACAGAUAGCCUUCUUUCCUGAGAUAUUUAGACAAGGAAGAUGGAUCUGUUCAAACUCAUCGGUCUGAUCACCCAGCCAGAGAGGGGAACAGUUCUGUGAAGUCUUUAGGAUGCCUUUUU
Molecule: long non-coding RNA, 213 nt
Organism: Lontra canadensis (Northern American river otter)
Lineage: Eukaryota; Metazoa; Chordata; Mammalia; Carnivora; Mustelidae
Exons: 3
Source: RefSeq, a predicted model, not a curated record